RNAcentral lists this ribosomal RNA (253 nucleotides) under uncultured bacterium. RNAcentral describes it as "partial 16S ribosomal RNA". It matches the Rfam family "Bacterial small subunit ribosomal RNA", at positions 524 to 776 of the family's 1533-position model. The record is from RNAcentral.
UACAGAGGGUGCAAGCGUUAAUCGGAAUUACUGGGCGUAAAGCGCGCGUAGGUGGUUUGUUAAGUUGGAUGUGAAAGCCCCGGGCUCAACCUGGGAACUGCAUCCAAAACUGGCAGGCUAGAGUACAGUAGAGGGUGGUGGAAUUUCCUGUGUAGCGGUGAAAUGCGUAGAUAUAGGAAGGAACACCAGUGGCGAAGGCGACCACCUGGACUGAUACUGACACUGAGGUGCGAAAGCGUGGGGAGCAAACAGG